This 488-nucleotide ribosomal RNA is filed under the name Dujonia zeylanoides. Its description in RNAcentral is "[Candida] zeylanoides partial large subunit ribosomal RNA". It matches the Rfam family "Eukaryotic large subunit ribosomal RNA", at positions 294 to 804 of the family's 3401-position model. Lineage: Eukaryota; Fungi; Ascomycota; Pichiomycetes; Serinales; Debaryomycetaceae. The record is from RNAcentral.
GGGUGGUAAAUUCCAUCUAAAGCUAAAUAUUGGCGAGAGACCGAUAGCGAACAAGUACAGUGAUGGAAAGAUGAAAAGAACUUUGAAAAGAGAGUGAAAAAGUACGUGAAAUUGUUGAAAGGGAAGGGCUUGAGAUCAGACUUGGUAUUUUGCGUUCCCUUCCUUUUUGGUUGGGUUCCUCGCAGUUUACUGGGCCAGCAUCGGUUUGGAUGGUAGGAUAAUGACAUUGGAAUGUAGCUUUACUUCGGUGAAGUGUUAUAGACUUUGUUGAUACUGCCUAUCUAGACCGAGGACUGCGUCUUUGACUAGGAUGCUGGCGUAAUGAUCUUAAGCCGCCCGUCUUGAAACACGGACCAAGGAGUCUAACGUCUAUGCAAGUGUUUGGGUGUAAAACCCGUACGCGUAAUGAAAGUGAACGUAGGUGAGAGCCUUUUAGGUGCAUCAUCGACCGAUCCUGAUGUCUUCGGAUGGAUUUGAGUAAGAGCAUA